Molecule: ribosomal RNA, 301 nt
Filed under: uncultured bacterium
Lineage: Bacteria
Description: partial 16S ribosomal RNA
Rfam family: Bacterial small subunit ribosomal RNA
Source: RNAcentral
CAGUCGCGCGGUAAUACAUAGGGUGCAAGCGUUAAUCGGAAUUACUGGGCGUAAAGCGCGCGUAGGUGGUUUGUUAAGUUGGAUGUGAAAUCCCCGGGCUCAACCUGGGAACUGCAUCCAAAACUGGCAAGCUAGAGUAUGGUAGAGGGUGGUGGAAUUUCCUGUGUAGCGGUGAAAUGCGUAGAUAUAGGAAGGAACUCCAGUGGCGAAGGCGACCACCUGGACUGAUACUGACACUGAGGUGCGAAAGCGUGGGGAGCAAACAGGAUUAGAUACCCCAGUAGUCCAUGUCUCUUAUAAA